Non-coding RNA from Oreochromis aureus, 553 nucleotides. The record is from the annotation of a RefSeq genome assembly. Lineage: Eukaryota; Metazoa; Chordata; Actinopteri; Cichliformes; Cichlidae.
ACUGAGUCAGGAUGGUGUUUCCAAUGUUGGUGGUUCUUUUGUUAGGCUUUCUGAGUCAGGAGUCACUUGCCAAUUUUCUGACUCAGACUGACGAAGUCAAGUCUGUCAGUCUUGGUGGGACUGUGACCAUCAGCGCCACAGGAAGUUCAAAUAUUGGUCCUGAUCUCAGUUGGUACCUUCAGAGACCUGGACAGCCUCCCAAACUGCUUAUAUACAAAGCAUCAACUCACUCCUCAGGAACUCCGUCUCGAUUCAGUGGCAGUAGAUCUGGUUCUCAGUACACUUUAACCAUCAGUGGGUUUCAGGCUGAAGAUGCUGGAGAUUAUUACUGUCUGGGCAACCAUGGUGGUGGAGUGUUCACACAGUGAUUUAUAGCUGUACAAAAACCUCCUUCAGUCUGGCUGAAGGCUGCAGGUGCAGAGUGACAGACUGCAAUAACUGAUCAACUCACGGCCACAAGAGCAAAAACACAAUGAAUCUAAACAAAACUGAAGAAAUACACGGUUGUAUUUAUAAAAAAUUUUACUUAAAUAUGUCUCAAUGAACAAAAAAU